UACGUAGGGUGCAAGCGUUGUCCGGAAUUAUUGGGCGUAAAGAGCUCGUAGGCGGUUUGUCGCGUCUGCUGUGAAAACUCGGGGCUUAACCCCGGGCCUGCAGUGGGUACGGGCAGACUAGAGUGCGGUAGGGGAGACUGGAAUUCCUGGUGUAGCGGUGAAAUGCGCAGAUAUCGGGAGGAACACCUAUGGCGAAGGCAGCUCGCUGGGACGUUACUGACGCUGAGACGCGAAAGCGUGGGGAGCAAACAGG
This 253-nucleotide ribosomal RNA is filed under the name uncultured bacterium. RNAcentral describes it as "partial 16S ribosomal RNA". It matches the Rfam family "Bacterial small subunit ribosomal RNA", at positions 524 to 776 of the family's 1533-position model. The record is from RNAcentral.